UACGAGAGGUGCAAACGUUAUUCGGAAUCAUUGGGCGUAAAGGGUGCGUAGGCGGCUUAUUAAGUUUGUUGUUAAAUAUCUCGGCCUAACCGAGAACCAGCAAUGAAAACUGAUUGGCUAGAGGAUGGAAGAGAGGAGUGGAAUUCUCGGAGUAGCGGUAAAAUGCGUAGAUCUCGAGAGGAACACCGAUGGCGAAGGCAGCUCCUUAGUCCAUAUCUGACGCUGAGGCACGAAAGCGUGGGUAGCAAACAGG
Molecule: unclassified non-coding RNA, 253 nt
Filed under: uncultured bacterium
Lineage: Bacteria
Description: contains 16S-23S intergenic spacer region
Rfam family: Bacterial small subunit ribosomal RNA
Source: RNAcentral